This 254-nucleotide ribosomal RNA is filed under the name uncultured bacterium. RNAcentral's name for it is "partial 16S ribosomal RNA". It matches the Rfam family "Bacterial small subunit ribosomal RNA", at positions 524 to 776 of the family's 1533-position model. The record is from RNAcentral.
UACGUAGGGUGCGAGCGUUGUCCGGAAUUAUUGGGCGUAAAGGGCUCGUAGGCGGUUUGUCGCGUCGGGAGUGAAAACUCAGGGCUUAACCCUGAGCCUGCUUCCGAUACGGGCAGACUAGAGGUAUGCAGGGGAGAAUGGAAUUCCUGGUGUAGCGGUGAAAUGCGCAGAUAUCAGGAGGAACACCGGUGGCGAAGGCGGGUCUCUGGGCCGAUACUGACGCUGAGGAGCGAAAGCGUGGGGGAGCGAACAGG